GAAUUGGUUUCCACUAAUAACUUAAAUCAUAAACAUAAUAAUGUUAAUUAACUAAUACAGGAUGAUAGUAACCCGGGCUGUUCAACAGCUCUCCCGUACGGUUGGCCGCCGUAACAUGGGUGGUGGUGGAGACAACUAUCCUGGAUCAAAUAUGCCAUUCUUCCCCAAAAGGUGGAAGUCUCCUCGACCUUACUUCUUAACUCUAGCAGCCACAGGAGCUUCUAUCCCCUUUUCCAUCUACUUCUUCUAUGAGUGGAAAAUGCGAAACGACAUUGGAUGGUAAAUGUGGACCUCUUAGCCCUGGAACGUUGUAAAUUAUUCAAAGACAUUGAAACUUCAUGGACUAAAUUAUGUAUUAUAGUUCUCACGCCUUUGCCUUUGUGCUCUUUUUACAUAACCCCAGUUUUGAUUAUUCUUAUAUCGACCCCCAGCCACCGUCGCGUUAGUCUUGUGAUAUACUACAAAAGCCAAUUGAGCAUUUGGUUAUUAGCUACAUAAAAGUGUAAUUCGAUUUGUAAUUGUAAUAUUUGGAUACCGUUUUGUUGAUUGUAAAUAUAAUACACAGAUGUGACAGUGAA
Molecule: long non-coding RNA, 578 nt
Organism: Bolinopsis microptera
Lineage: Eukaryota; Metazoa; Ctenophora; Tentaculata; Lobata; Bolinopsidae
Exons: 2
Source: RefSeq, a predicted model, not a curated record